Long non-coding RNA from Folsomia candida, 303 nucleotides. RefSeq lists it as uncharacterized. The transcript has 2 exons. The record is from RefSeq and is a predicted model, not a curated record. Lineage: Eukaryota; Metazoa; Arthropoda; Collembola; Entomobryomorpha; Isotomidae.
GUCGGAACGAGUGAGGCAUGACGACGCGUCGAAAGGACACCGAACCAUGAAAGCUUACAAAAUAUGGAUUUGACUGAAAUUUGUUGUACUAAAAUUGGAAACUCUGGUGCUGAACUGGACGUUCGUGGCUGACAGGCUGGAGAGAAAGUUUUCGACUGACGCAAACCACAACUUUGGAUUGGCUAAAAUAAAAUCAGAGGACGCAUAUGCAUUUUUUAAAUUAUAUUACCACCGAGAUCGGUCUGUUUGCAGCUCGCAUAGAGCACAGAAAUUUCAAAAUAUAUUUUUACAUAUUGGCACAAA